This is a long non-coding RNA of Anolis carolinensis (green anole), 4813 nucleotides long. RefSeq lists it as uncharacterized. The record is from RefSeq and is a predicted model, not a curated record. Lineage: Eukaryota; Metazoa; Chordata; Lepidosauria; Squamata; Anolidae. The transcript is spliced from 2 exons.
CCAGUGACACUCUGCCAGGGAUUGGCCCCACUCCGCCCAGAAACAAAGCGGUCCGAUUGAGCAGCAGUGCCACCAAAGGCUCUUAAAGGGCCAGCAGAGACAAGCGCCCAUUUCUCCCUCCUCUUCCUGUACCAAAAAGCCCUUUCUCAGCUCAAUGACUUCCCCUCCCUUUCCUUCCACCCACGGAAAGGGAUGCCCAGACGGGUUUCUCUGCUGGAAAUUGCAAUGAACUCUUCCCCCGCCUCCUCUGGCUGUAAUAUUACCACACUCCUUUUCCGGGUUUGUUUGUUUACUCCCUGGUUGCUAGUAGGUGGAGGAACAGGUAAGUGGGGAAAACCCACGCAGCCCUUCCUUUGAGUUAUUUCUGCCUUUGGGCUUAAUUCACCUGGGUUGCAUGUUUCCCACAUUCAGGGCCUGGACGUGUAUUGCUUUAUAAGAUGAAAUUUCCAUACUCUUAGGUUGCAGGACAAAUGCGCUUUGGCACAACUUUUAACUGCAAUGGCUUAAUGCUACAGAAUCAUGGGAGUUGUAGUUUUACAAGGCCUUUUGCUUUCUCUGCCAAAAAGGACUGGGGCCUCACCAAACUACUAAUCCCAGGAUUCCAUAGCCUUGAGCCAUGACAGUGAAAGCAGAGCCAGGCUGCCUCCCGUCGGGUAAAGCAGCUGGUGAGCGUGCGAGCCGCUGCUUCUGGCGAGGUCGCCGGGCUGCCUGGCCAGAAGCCCUUAGAAAAGCACACCCACUUGGUGGCUGUGAGGGGGAAAUAAAAAAAACAAUUGGGGAAAGCGGGGAUAAAGAGAAGUCAAAGCCUGAGGGAAAGUCUGUGCUUUGGGUUUCUGUAUGGCCACGUUCCACAAGCAUUCUCUCCUGACGUUUCACUGACAUCUAUGGUACACAUCCUCAGAGGUUCUGAGGUCUGUUGAAAGCUAGGUAAGUGGGGUUUAUAUAUCUGUAGAAAGUCCAGGGUGGGAGAAAGAGCUCUUGUCUGUUUGAGGCUAGUGUGAAUGUUGCAAUUAGGCAUCUUGAUUAGCAUUUAAUGGCCUUGUAGAUUCAAAGCCUGGCUGCUUCCUCCCUUGGGGCAUCCUUGGUUGGGAGGUGUUAGCUGGCCCUUAUUGUUUCCUGUCUGGAUUUCCCCUGUUUUCAGAGUGUUGUUCUUUAUUUAGGCUUUCCCUUAAUCCCUCCUUAUUAUCCAACAUUUUCGUUUAUCCAACACUUUUAUUUUUCAUUGAUUGGUUGGGGGGGGGGAAUUCUGUUCGCCUACACUUGAAAAUUACCUUGGGCCAGUCCUGUGUACAAGACACUCAGCUCCUUCAAGGAAGGACAAGAUAGACAUGUAAUAAAUAAGCGAGUAGACCAUUACAUUACAAUGUUAGGCUGGAUUUGGCAUGGGAAAUGUCUGAGAAAAGAACCUAAUGUUCUGAGUUUGUUUUUUCCACAAUUGUGAUGGACUGCUUGUGGAACUCAAGCCAACCACCUACACAACAAACCUUUUUGCAGUGUGCAUUAGUUUCUUCUAUCCAGAAAUGUAGUGAUAGUUAUCCUCAAUUGGAAAACUUUCCUGUAUUAGUAAAAUAGCAUUGGACACAAUAAAAUUUAUCCCCACCAUACCCUUGAAAAAAUCGCCAAAUUUUAUGAUUGUUAAAAUAUUUGUUGCCAGUUUGUUUAGAGUAUUAAGUCACCACCACCUUCAAAGCAGUAUCUGACAUUUCAAUUGGUCCAAAGAGAAGCAGUCAGACUGCUAACUGGGGCUGAUUACAGGAAAUGUACAUUUCCUCUGUUGCAACAGCUCAAUUGGCUGCCAACCGUUUCCAGGCAUAAUUCAAAAUGCUGGUUUGACCUACAAAGCCCUGCAUGGUUUCAGUCAGGUUAUCUGAAUGACCAUCUAUUCUUUACAAACCUGUCCGACAUCAACUGGGGAGGGCCUUCUCUCUGCCCCACCACCUGUUCAAGCACAUUUGGUGGGAAUACAGGAGACAGCCUUUUCAGUGGCUGUUGUCAGAGUGUAGAAUUCACUCCCAAGAGAGACCAAGAUGUCCCCAUCCCUGCUUGCCUUCUUCAAGCAGGUAAAGACAUUUCUUUACCAUGAGGCAUCUGGGGAAGAAGGAGUGGCACAUUACGUGGGUGGGAUUCUGGAGGGACUGUGAGUUUUAAAUAUAGUUUUAAUUUUAUUUAUUAUAUUUUAACUGCAUUUUAACUUAAACCCACACAAUAGUAUUUAAUUUUUUGUAUUUGCUUUGUUUUCAACUGUGACCAGAUUGUGUGGUUGUUAGCCACCUUGAGUUCCCAUAGGGAGAAAUGUGGGGUAUAAGCAAAAUAAAUAAAUAAAAUAUCCCAAUGAGAUAACAAUAAACACAUUUCAAAGUUGUGCACUUACUUUCCUCUUUCCUCAUCCACACAUGGCCAAUCGCCUUUACAAGUAUUAAACUUGACAAGCUGUGGUGAAUGUGGUAUUAAAAGCCGAUUCAGUUAAUUCAGUAACACAGCACUGUGGUUUCCUUUCCAUGUUUUAAAUAUGUGCUGGUUCAUCUAUCCCUUUCAGCAGAAACUGUUGGUUAGAAUAGCAUGCUUUGAGGUCUCUAUUUUUAUUUUAUAAGCUUUCUCACAAGAGAGUUGGUGUUGGCCAAUACUGAUGCAUAAAGUAUUCAUAUAGAACUAAGGAUAUGAGUACUGGCAUUAGUUAUAAAAGCUAUGUAGCAACAGAAAAGCUGUGAAUUAAUUAACAUAAUUAUAGUACUUUAAACCAUUGGUGCAAACAAAGCCUUCAAGACCCAUCUGAGACCUUGUUCUGCAAAAAAAACCCCAAUACUGAAAUAAUCUACACCAUUAAUAAACUAUUAGGCAAUGUUCUGUACAGGCUAUAAGUUUAAAUAGCCCAAUGGACUUGAGUAAACCUGAACUUUAGCUUUCUUUUUCAGGAUGCUUGAAAAGAUGCAAAGUAGUAUCUGGACAAGUAAACAGAUUACAAGGUCUGAAAAAAAGCAGAGAAUUGUCAAAUGUUACAAACAACACUGGUACAAACAACAUUUGUAAACAUGAAGAUAUCAGCAUUAUACUUUAGGGCAAGGCUAAGACAUAAUCAGAACACAUGGAUAAACUAUUUCAGGAAGAUGUACUCUCGGUACUUCAGAAGAUAUUGGAUCCCAACUCCCAUCAGAAAAUACAACUUGGAGAUUAUUAUUUGUGUAGUUAGAUUGAAAUAUUACAAAUAUUCAGAUGUUUUGGUCAAGAAAAUGUGUUAUCAAUUUACAUCAAGUGCAUCCUAUAUAUGACAUUUUCAAUACUUUGGAAUUCCCUUCCAGAAGAAUUAAGAGCUGUCCCAUCCAUAUUAGGCUUCCGGAAAGAGGUCAAGACCUUUCUAUGUCUUAAAAUCAUGGAAUCAUGAAGUUGGAAGAUAUCACAAGACUCAUCCAGUUCUACCACGGAGGAAUGCACAACAAAAUAUUCCUGACAUGUGGUCAUCCAGCCUCUGUUUAAAAACUUGAAAAGAAGGAAGAUCCACAUGCCAAUGUAAUAUAUAUUCCACUAUCAAACCACUCUUACAAUGAAAAAGUUCUUCCUAAUGUUUAGGUGGAAUUUCUUUUUCUGUAGUUUAAAUCCAUUGCUCCUUGCCCUAGUUCCUGGAGGUUGUUUGCUUCAUCGUCAAUAUGACUCUGAAAUUUGUUGGUAGCUUCCCAUUUAUAUUUAACCACAUGAUAGUGAUGGUGGUGGUGGUGACAAUGACAUCAACACAAUCCAUAAUAACAUACAUGUGAAAUUAUAAUCACAAAAUCAGAAGUAUAAUCCAUGUGCCAUUUCAUUUACAAUAAUUCUUUAUAACAAAUUUAGCCAGUGAUAAAAGAGAAGGGAAAUACAUAUGGAACGUUCCAAUUAAAAUUCCAUUUUCAAUUGGAAAGGCCAUCCCAAGUGCAGAUCUAGAAGAACUAUUCCUCUUUCUGGUUAUUUAGAGUCCCUUAUCUGCCUAGCAGUUUGCAGAUUCCAAUUAACUCUUCAGCACACCUUUGAUUAAAUAGUAAGCAGUGCAGUCAAUUCACCAAGAAACAUGCAUUUAAGGGUCUGAAAGGUAAAGAGAGAUAAAGAAAAAUGGAAGGAGGAAAAAAUGAAUUCAAAUCUAAAUUUUGCCUUCCCCAGAAGUGCUGUGAAAGAUUCUUCUUUCAAGAAAGUGGUAUUAGGAUAAGUAUUAUUAUUGCACUGCUGAAAGAUUAGUUUCCUGUAUAGAAGCUGAUUACUUCCCUGAUUUCAUUGCUGCUUCUGCAGCUAGUCAAACAUGAGGAAAGAGCUGAAGUUAUCCUGUACUGCAUGGUAGAUUCGCUUAAAACAUUAUUCUACUUUGGUUAUAUACAGCUGUUUUUGGCAAGAUAGUAUGCAGGAGCAUUUUCCUAAUUCUAAUGGGGAAAAAUGACCUUUUCGUAAUGAGUGAUACAACACCUAGUUCAUCAAGAAGUGUAACUUGAACAGUGGUAUUAACCAAAAUCAGUAAGACCCAUUAAAAGUGCAUACCAUAGCUCAUUGUUUCAUUCCCUGGACUACCACUACAAUAGAUACCUUAAUUCAAAGUCAUUUUGAUGCUUGCAUGUUAUCUAUUUUGAAUAAUCUUAGGUAAGCCAAAUGAGGCUUUGAAGUGAACUUUGGUUCGAUGCUAAAGCAGUCGUUUACAAGCAAUUUUUAGAGUUCUUUUAGUACAACAUUUGUUUUAUCAUUAUCUCAACAAUUAGUGUUGUGCUCCUUGGAGAUGUCUGUGAUAUGUAUAUGAAUGAUGAUGAGGUUUAAAGCAUUACAAAGGCAUAAAUAAAAUUAUCUGGUAGAUAAUAAAUUUGAA